GACAGAGGCCUCGAGCGUUAGGCGGAAUCACUGGGCUUAAAGCGUGUGUAGGCGGAUCGUUAAGUACCUUGUGAAAUCCCACGGCUCAACCGUGGAACGGCUGGGUAUACUGGCGGUCUUGGGCCAUUCAGGGGCGACUGGAACAAGCGGUGGAGCGGUGAAAUGCGUAGAUAUCGGGAGGAACACCAGUGGCGAAGGCGACUACCUGGCCCAUUCUUGACGCUGAGGCGCGAAAGCGUGGGGAGCAAACAGG
This 253-nucleotide ribosomal RNA is filed under the name uncultured bacterium. RNAcentral describes it as "partial 16S ribosomal RNA". It matches the Rfam family "Bacterial small subunit ribosomal RNA", at positions 524 to 776 of the family's 1533-position model. The record is from RNAcentral.